This 477-nucleotide ribosomal RNA is filed under the name uncultured anaerobic ammonium-oxidizing bacterium. Its description in RNAcentral is "bacterial SSU rRNA". It matches the Rfam family "Bacterial small subunit ribosomal RNA", at positions 365 to 832 of the family's 1533-position model. The record is from RNAcentral.
UUCGCAAUGCCCGAAAGGGUGACGAAGCGACGCCGCGUGCAGGUAGAAGGCCUUCGGGUUGUAAACCGCUGUCGGGAGUUAAGAAAUGCAAGGGUGUUAAUAGCGCCCUUGCUUGACUAAGGCUCCGGAGGAAGCCACGGCUAACUCUGUGCCAGCAGCCGCGGUAAUACAGAGGCGGCAAGCGUUGUUCGGAAUUAUUGGGCGUAAAGAGCACGUAGGCGGCCGUGUAAGUCGGUUGUGAAAGCCUUCCGCUCAACGGGAGAACGGCAUCCGAUACUGCAUGGCUCGAGUGCGGGAGGGGAGAGUGGAACUUCUGGUGGAGCGGUGAAAUGCGUAGAUAUCAGAAGGAACACCGGCGGCGAAGGCGACUCUCUGGCCCGUAACUGACGCUGAGUGUGCGAAAGCUAGGGGAGCAAACGGGAUUAGAUACCCCGGUAGUCCUAGCCGUAAACGAUGGGCACUAAGUAGAGGGGUUUU